This is a long non-coding RNA of Drosophila subobscura, 305 nucleotides long. RefSeq lists it as uncharacterized. The record is from RefSeq and is a predicted model, not a curated record. Lineage: Eukaryota; Metazoa; Arthropoda; Insecta; Diptera; Drosophilidae. The transcript is spliced from 3 exons.
UUGUAAGCAAUCAAUAAAAGAAAGUCUUCAAAACUGGCCAAUCAUGUGGACAAUUGGUCCAUCAGUUGGAUAAAAUUAUACUUUCAGUGCUGAGAGUCUUAUUUUGCUAGAAAUUUCAAAUCGAAUAGCAAAAUCAAGAAAUAUGGUUAUCAUCGGUAUAUUGUACGGUAUAUUUUGAAAAAGGAAAGGUAUUUUUUGGUAUUUGGAAAAAAAUCUGCUGCCAGCGGCGUCGGUGGAUUUGUUUGGCUCACAAUGCUCUGCGCCGAAGUUUUUAUUGUUAAUUUGUACUCCAGACUUACAUAUUU